This 483-nucleotide ribosomal RNA is filed under the name uncultured bacterium. Its description in RNAcentral is "partial 16S ribosomal RNA". It matches the Rfam family "Bacterial small subunit ribosomal RNA", at positions 30 to 507 of the family's 1533-position model. The record is from RNAcentral.
UUGAACGCUGGCGGCAGGCCUCACCCAUGCAAGUCGAGCGGAUGAAGGGAGCUUGCUCCUGGAUUCAGCGGCGGACGGGUGAGUAAUGCCUAGGAAUCUGCCUGGUAGUGGGGGAUAACGUCCGGAAACGGGCGCUAAUACCGCAUACGUCCUGAGGGAGAAAGUGGGGGAUCUUCGGACCUCACGCUAUCAGAUGAGCCUAGGUCGGAUUAACUAGUUGGUGGGGUAAAGGCCUACCAAGGCGACGAUCCGUAACUGGUCUGAGAGGAUGAUCAGUCACACUGGAACUGAGACACGGUCCAGACUCCUACGGGAGGCAGCAGUGGGGAAUAUUGGACAAUGGGCGAAAGCCUGAUCCAGCCAUGCCGCGUGUGUGAAGAAGGUCUUCGGAUUGUAAAGCACUUUAAGUUGGGAGGAAGGGCAGUAAGUUAAUACCUUGCUGUUUUGACGUUACCAACAGAAUAAGCACCGGCUAACUUCGUG